RNAcentral lists this long non-coding RNA (377 nucleotides) under Mytilus galloprovincialis (Mediterranean mussel). The record is from RNAcentral. Lineage: Eukaryota; Metazoa; Mollusca; Bivalvia; Mytilida; Mytilidae.
UUGUUUUAUCCGUUUAUUUUAAAAAGGUACAUGGUACAAAAUAUACAGAAUUUAAUUAUGUUCAUUUAAAAAUAUAUAUAUAAUAUAGCAUUGGCAUUAUAAAAGAUGAGACAAAGGACAACUAGUUUGAGUUUAUACUUGUUUACUACAAAAGAUAGUUAUAUUUAAGUCAAACUCCAUUCAAAGGCUUGGAUAUAGACAAUACCGUAUUUUGAUUUCAACUUCAAGUACAGAAUUAUUUAAAAUGAAAGUUGUAAAUGAAUUUCACUAUUUUUGAAAAUUUGAACAUGAACGUGUAUUGCUAUUAAAUGCUUUGAAAUGAACAAAUAUUGUUGUUUUUGCUUUCCAUGAAAUGUGCAAUGAACGUGCAAGUCUUC